RNAcentral lists this ribosomal RNA (467 nucleotides) under uncultured bacterium. Its description in RNAcentral is "partial 16S ribosomal RNA". It matches the Rfam family "Bacterial small subunit ribosomal RNA", at positions 28 to 507 of the family's 1533-position model. The record is from RNAcentral.
GAUGAACGCUGACGGAAUGCUUAACACAUGCAAGUCAACUUGAAUUUGGGUUUUUAACUUAGGUUUGGGUGGCGGACGGGUGAGUAACGCGUAAAGAACUUGCCUCACAGCUAGGGACAACAUUUGGAAACGAAUGCUAAUACCUAAUAUUAUGAUAAUAGGGCAUCCUAUAAUUAUGAAAGCUAUAAGCGCUGUGAGAGAGCUUUGCGUCCCAUUAGCUAGUUGGAGAGGUAACGGCUCACCAAGGCGAUGAUGGGUAGCCGGCCUGAGAGGGUGAUCGGCCACAAGGGGACUGAGACACGGCCCUUACUCCUACGGGAGGCAGCAGUGGGGAAUAUUGGACAAUGGACCAAGAGUCUGAUCCAGCAAUUCUGUGUGCACGAUGAAGUUUUUCGGAAUGUAAAGUGCUUUCAGUUGGGAAGAAAGAAAUGACGGUACCAACAGAAGAAGUGACGGCUAAAUACGUG